UUCCGCGAAAUCCCGCCCCCCAGCUGGGCGCUCGGGAGGAGGGAGAAGGGGGAGCCAAGCCGGCCGGCGCCACGCAGACGAGGGAGAGGCGGCUGAAGAGCGGGAAGAACCGCUUCAAAUAGGUAGACAGAAGACCCUGACUGAGACCGGCGGCCUAGGGGCUGGAGUACUACUAGUCACAGCAUUCAUGUCUGUCAUCAACAGAAGGGAGUUUGAGAGAACUGCCGCCAGUACUUGAAAUUUCCAGGUGGAUUUAUGUGUUAAUGGACGAGCAGGGAAGCUUUACCUAAAGCUAUAGCGAGAACUACUAAGACUGUAAAGAAAGCACAUAAACCUUUGGUCCAACGUAUCUGCAUUUAUCAUUAAAAUGUUCCGUCUGGUCCAGUUAAGAGGAAGAAAAUAACGCA
Molecule: long non-coding RNA, 407 nt
Organism: Pseudophryne corroboree (corroboree frog)
Lineage: Eukaryota; Metazoa; Chordata; Amphibia; Anura; Myobatrachidae
Exons: 4
Source: RefSeq, a predicted model, not a curated record